This is a non-coding RNA of Pelobates cultripes (western spadefoot toad), 563 nucleotides long. Lineage: Eukaryota; Metazoa; Chordata; Amphibia; Anura; Pelobatidae. The record is from the annotation of a GenBank genome assembly.
GUGCUCAUCAGUUUGAUAUUUAAUUUUAAGCUUCUUCUAUCCCAAAGGUCAAGCGCUCAUCAAAUAGAUUACUGACCUUCCUCUAUCACAGAAGUCAAAUUAGUAUUUGUUUCUGGGUUACCUCUAUCUCAGAGAUAGCACUCUUAUUAAAGUGAUAUUUGCUGCUGAGCAUCUUGUCAUGGAGGUAACACUCAUUAAAUUGGUACAGUUAUUAAGCUUUGUCACAACAUUCACAUUCUCACCAAUACUGGUACGUGGUAACAAAGCUUCCACUAAUUACGGAGCAUACAUGCUUAUCAAAUUUAAACAGAUGAGCCUCUCCUGUGACAGAUCACACUCUUGCUGUAGCGUCAGGCACCUUUUUCAUUAGCUAACAUACAGUCUUCGGCUUUUUCUUGCCACCUUAACUUACACACCUCUGAUUGUAUGGUUGCUUUUUCUCAAAGUGGUUUAUGUUUCACUUUACCCCAGAUAUUCUAGUUUUAUACCUUCAAACACAACAUUCUAAAAUACCAAUGUUCUAAAGUCCAUGUGUUGUUGAAAAUCAGCAGAUCAGGCCUGAU